CCUACGGGUGGCAGCAGUGAGGAAUAUUGGUCAAUGGGCGAGAGCCUGAACCAGCCAAGUCGCGUGAAGGAUGACGGCCCUACGGGUUGUAAACUUCUUUUGUCAGGGAGCAAUUGGGUCCACGCGUGGGCUUAGCGAGAGUACCUGAAGAAAAAGCAUCGGCCAACUCCGGGCAAGCAGCCGCGGUAAUACGGAGGAUGCGAGCUUGAUCCGGAUUUAUUUGGUUUAAAGGGUGCGUAGGCGGAAUAUCAAGUUGACGGUAAAGCUGCGGGGCUCAACCUCGUCGUGCCGUUGAAACUGAUGUUCUUGAGUGGGCGAGAGGUAUGCGGAAUGCGUGGUGUAGCGGUGAAAUGCAUAGAUAUCACGCAGAACUCCGAGUGCGAAGGCAGCAUACCGGCGCCCAACUGACGCUGAAGCACGAAAGCGUGGGUAUCGAACAGGAUUAGAUACCCCGGUAGUC
This 460-nucleotide ribosomal RNA is filed under the name uncultured bacterium. Its description in RNAcentral is "partial 16S ribosomal RNA". It matches the Rfam family "Bacterial small subunit ribosomal RNA", at positions 338 to 795 of the family's 1533-position model. The record is from RNAcentral.